CUACGGGCGGCUCCAGUGAGGAAUAUUGCACAAUGGGGGGAACCCUGAUGCAGUAACGCCGCGUGGAGGAUGACGCAUUUCGGUGUGUAAACUCCUUUUAUAUGUCAAGAAAAUGACGGCAGCAUAUGAAUAAGCACCGGCUAACUCCGUGCCAGCAGUCGCGGUAAUACGGAGGGUGCAAGCGUUACUCGGAAUCACUGGGCGUAAAGGACGCGUAGGCGGGUUGGAAAGUCAGGUGUGAAAUCCUACAGCUUAACUGUAGAACUGCACUUGAAACUUCUAAUCUAGAGUAUGGGAGGGGGAGAUGGAAUUAGUGGUGUAGGGGUAAAAUCCGUAGAUAUCACUAGGAAUACCUAAAGCGAAGGCGAUCUCCUGGAACAUUACUGACGCUAAGGCGUGAAAGCGUGGGGAGCAAACAGGAUUAGAUACCCCUGUAGUC
RNAcentral lists this ribosomal RNA (439 nucleotides) under uncultured bacterium. Its description in RNAcentral is "partial 16S ribosomal RNA". It matches the Rfam family "Bacterial small subunit ribosomal RNA", at positions 339 to 795 of the family's 1533-position model. The record is from RNAcentral.